RNAcentral lists this unclassified non-coding RNA (393 nucleotides) under uncultured Mortierella. RNAcentral's name for it is "partial contains 5.8S ribosomal RNA, internal transcribed spacer 2, and large subunit ribosomal RNA". The stretch from base 1 to 102 matches the Rfam family "5.8S ribosomal RNA", at positions 53 to 154 of the family's 154-position model. The record is from RNAcentral. Lineage: Eukaryota; Fungi; Mortierellomycota; Mortierellomycetes; Mortierellales; Mortierellaceae.
AUGCGAUACGUAAUGUGAAUUGCAGAAUUCAGUGAAUCAUCGAAUCUUUGAACGCAUAUUGCGCUCUUUGGUAUUCCGAAGAGCAUGCUUGUUUGAGUAUCAGUAAACACCUCAAAGCUUUUGAUUUUUUUUUGAAAGCUUUGGACUUGAGCAAUCCCAACACCAGUCUUUUUUAGAUCGGAGGCGGGUUGCUUGAAAUGCAGGUGCAGCUGGACAUUCUCCUGAGCUAAAAGCAUAUUCAUUUAGUCCCGUCAAACGGAUUAUUACUUUUGCUGCAGCUAACAUAAAGGGAGUUUGACCGUAUUGGCUGACUGAUGCAGGAUUUCACAGGGGUCGGCAACGACGCUUGUUAAACUCGAUCUCAAAUCAAGUAAGACUACCCGCUGAACUUAA